Molecule: ribosomal RNA, 407 nt
Filed under: uncultured bacterium
Lineage: Bacteria
Description: bacterial SSU rRNA
Rfam family: Bacterial small subunit ribosomal RNA
Source: RNAcentral
GCAAGGAAUUUUCGUCAAUGGGGGAAACCCUGAACGAGCAACGCCGCGUGGGCGAAGAAGUCCCUCGGGAUGUAAAGCCCUUUUCCCUGUGAAGAAAGAAAGACGGUAGCAGGGGAAUAAGCAUCGGCUAACUACGUGCCAGCAGCCGCGGUAAUACGUAGGAUGCAAGCGUUGUCCGGAAUUAUUGGGCGUAAAGAGCGCGCAGGCGGUGUGACAAGUCAGAUGUGAAAGAGGCCGGCUUAACCGGCAAGGGUCAUUUGAAACUGUCAGACUAGAGUGCAGCAGAGGAUAGUGGAAUUCCCGGUGUAGUGGUGAAAUGCGUAGAUAUCGGGAGGAACACCAGUGGCGAAGGCGACUAUCUGGGCUGUAACUGACGCUGAGGCGCGAAGGCUAGGGUAGCAAACAGG